Gorilla gorilla gorilla (western lowland gorilla) is the source of this 163-nucleotide long non-coding RNA. RefSeq lists it as uncharacterized. The record is from RefSeq and is a predicted model, not a curated record. The transcript is spliced from 3 exons. NCBI's taxonomy places the organism in Eukaryota, Metazoa, Chordata, Mammalia, Primates, Hominidae.
AAAAUUGCAUCCAUCAACUUGGAUCUGCAACUGAAGGCAGGAUUAUUCUGUUAAGAAAAAUGAAGCGAUAGACUGCUGCUUUGCUUCUAUGGACACUAGAUCAAUCUGGAAUUAAGUAUCACAGACAUGAUAGGAAUUCUGAAGACAGAACCACUGAGUCGGG